This 707-nucleotide ribosomal RNA is filed under the name uncultured bacterium. RNAcentral's name for it is "bacterial SSU rRNA". It matches the Rfam family "Bacterial small subunit ribosomal RNA", at positions 8 to 690 of the family's 1533-position model. The record is from RNAcentral.
AGAGUUUGAUCAUGGCUCAGAACUAACGCUUGGCGGCGUGCCUAACACAUGCAAGUCGAACGAGAAAGUCGGCUUCGGCCGAUAAGUAAAGUGGCGCACGGGUGAGUAACGCGUGGGUAAUCUGCCCCCCGGUCAGGAAUAACCCGCCGAAAGGCGGGCUAAUACCCGAUAACACUGACACUCUGCGGAGUGUCUUUCAAAGAAGGCCUCUGUUUACAAGCUUUCGCCGGAGGAUGAGCCCGCGUACCAUUAGCUAGUUGGUAGGGUAAUGGCCUACCAAGGCAACGAUGGUUAGCUGGUCUGAGAGGAUGACCAGCCACACUGGAACUGAGAUACGGUCCAGACUCCUACGGGAGGCAGCAGUGAGGAAUCUUGCGCAAUGGGGGAAACCCUGACGCAGCAACGCCGCGUGAGUGAGGAAGGCUUUCGGGUCGUAAAGCUCUGUCGGAUGGGAAGAAAUGGUUGGAAGUUAAUACCUUCCAUCCUUGACGGUACCAUCAGAGGAAGCACCGGCUAACUCCGUGCCAGCAGCCGCGGUAAUACGGGGGGUGCAAGCGUUGUUCGGAAUCAUUGGGCGUAAAGCGCGCGCAGGCGGCUUGGUAAGUCAGAUGUGAAAUCCCUGGGCUUAACCCAGGAAGUGCAUUUGAUACUGCCUCGCUAGAGUACGGGAGAGGAAAGUGGAAUUCCUGGUGUAGAGGUGAAAUUCG